Molecule: long non-coding RNA, 26287 nt
Filed under: Lactuca sativa (garden lettuce)
Lineage: Eukaryota; Viridiplantae; Streptophyta; Magnoliopsida; Asterales; Asteraceae
Description: long non-coding RNA (LSAT_LNC009685)
Source: RNAcentral
CAAUUACAAUUACAUCAAUUUCACCCAUACCUCAAGUAUAUCAAAAGUGCCAACAACCACAUAGCAGACACACUAACAAGUGAAUGGAAGCCAUCAUAAAGCAACCCAGAUAAGAAGCAACACUAUUCAUGGAAGACUAACACAAGAAUUAAAAAAUAUCUGCUUUUUCGGAGGCGGGAGGAAUGACGUAAGCAAUGACAUAGAAAGCCAUUAUUGAAGAUUAACGGGAGGAAUAACGUAAGCAAUGACGUAAAAAGCCAUUAUUGAAGACACCUAAUGACGUAAGCAAUGAAGUAAAAAGCCAUUAUUGUAGACACCUGUCUUUUCAAUGUGGAAGGGAUUAUUUUAUUUUUAAUUAUGUAAAGUGUUGGUAGAAUUAUUUGUAUUUGUCGGUAGGAUAAUUAUUAAGUGUCGGUUGUAUUAUUUUUGAUGUAACACAAAGUGUGUAACCCUCAAUAGUCUAGGGGGCUAUAAUGUAAAUAUGUAUAUCGUAUUGCAAUCAAACGAUUGCAACAAUAAUUGUAACCGACUCUCUUGAGCCUAUAAAUAGGGCCUUUGCCCAUAUGAAAUAAACAAGUUAAGUUUGAGUGUUUAAGACUUGAGUUGAUCUCAAUUGUCUUCUCUGUUGAAAUAGUUGUUAUAUUUCUGAAUAGCAGAGUUCUAUCCAAAUUAUCCACAUAACCAUCCAAUUAUUCAACGUAAUCCAUCAUCAAUAUAAUCCACUGCAUCAUUCAGGUAUAAUCUUAUCUUAAUCUUUCUUAAUUCCGUCAUGUUGUUAAAUUUGAUAUCAGAGCAAUUAAUCCGUCAUCAUGUUAUUUUGAAUUUGGUAUCAGAGCUAAGUAACGUUCUUACUAUUAUUUUGAAUGUUAAAUCUUUCAUUCAUAUGAAUAUUAAUCGUUACAAACAUUCAUCGUUAUAAGUUAUAAACUCAUUAUUAAAAUCAAAUAUUAUUAUCCACCUACAAUUUAAACAUAUGUCGGUAGAAGUUUUUUUACAAUUAUGACUACGUACCAAGAAGUUAGAAAUACAUUUCAUAUGUCAAAAAAGUUUUUAAUUCUCUGACUGCAUCAUAAAUAUAAUAGUAUUAAAAACCCCACCAUCAACAUCUUAUUAGAAUUUAUAAAUCAUAACUUUGAGAAAAAAACUUAUCAUUUUGUUUCUAAAAAUUAUAAUCAUAAGUUUUUCAAAUUUAAAUAUUAACAAAUAAAAAAUCUUGAAAAUAAAAUAACAAGAAUAAUUUAUAAAUAUGUCUCAAGAAAUAGAACAUACACCAAUCAUUAUUAAUAACGAAGAAAAUGAAUCGGGAUACACUUUUGAUGCUCUAAUUAAUAAAAAUAAUAUUAAUAAAGAUGCUAUAAGAAAAUUAAAUUUUACACUAUCUGAAAAACAUAAUUUUAAAUAUAACUCAUUGAGAGAAGAUUAUACAUGAAUGAUGUCGUGGAUUAUAUUGAUGCUGGAUUAUGUUGAAUGAUUGGAUGAUUAUGUGGAUAAUUUGGAUAGGGCUCUGCUAUUUAGAAAUAGAACAACUAUUUCAACAGAGAAGACAAUUGAGAUCAACUCAAGUCUUAAACACUUUCAUAUGGGCAAAGGCCUAUUUAUAGGNAUCAAGAGAGUCGGUUACAAUUAUUGUUGCAAUCGUUUGAUUGCAAUACGACAUACAUAUUUACAUUAUAGCCCCCUAAACUAUUGAGGGUUACACACUUUAUGUUACAUCACAAAUAAUACAACCGACACUUAAUAAUUAUCCUACCGACACUUCUAUUUAAUUACGUAAAAAUAACAAUCCUUAAUUUAAGACACAUGUCCUUUCAACGUGGAAGGGAUUGUUAUUUUUACGUAAUUAAAUAGAAGUCUCGGUAGGAUAAUCAUUAAGUGUCCGUUGUAUUAUUUGUGAUGUAACAUAAUGUGUGUAACCCACAAUAGUUUAGGGGGCUAUAAUGUAAAUAUGUAUGUCGUAUUGCAAUCAAACGAUUGCAACAAUAAUUGUAACCGGCUCUCUUGAGCAUCAAAAGAGUAUUCCAGUUCAUUUUCUUCGUUAUUAAUAAUGAUGGGUGUAUAUUUUAUUUCUUGAGACAUAUUUAAUAAAUUAUUCUUGUUAUUUUGUCUUCAAGAUUUUUUCUUCGUUAAUAUUUAAACUUGAAAAACUCAUGAUUAUAAUUUUUAAAAAUGAUAAUUUAUUUUUUCUUCCAAAGUUACGAUUUAUAAAUUCUAAUAAGAUGUUGAUGGUGGGGUUUUUUAAUACUAUUAUAUUUAUGAUGAAGUUAGAGAACUAAAAACCUCUUUGACAUAUGAAAUGUGUUUCUAACUUCUUGGUACAUAGUCAUAAUUGUAAAAAACCUUCUACCGACAUAUGUUUAAAUUGUAGGUGGAUAGUAGUAUUUGAUUUUAAUAAUGAGUUUAUGAUAAUAACUUAUAACGAUGAAUGUUUGUAACGAUGAAUAUUUAUAAGAAUAUAUAUGAUGAUGCAUGAUGAACAUAUAUUCAUAUGAACGGAAGAUUUAAUAUUCAAAAUAAUAGUAAGAACGUUACUUAGCUCUGAUACCAAAUUUAAAAUAACAUGAUGACAGAUUAAUUGCUUUCAUACCAAAUUUAAAGCGAUGACGGAAUUAAUAAAGAUUAAGAGAAUAUUAUACCUGAAUAAUGCGGUGGAUUAUCUUGAUGAUGGAUUAUGUUGAAUAAUUGGAUGGUUAUGUGGAUAAUUUGGAUAGAACUCUGCUAUUCAGAAAUAGAACAACUAUUUCAACAGAGAAGACAAUUGAGAUCAACUCAAGUCUUAAACACUCAAACUUAAAUUGUUUAUUUCAUAUGGGCAAAGGCCCGAUUCAUAGGCUCAAGAGAGCCGGUUACAAUUAUUGUUGCAAUCGUUUGAUUGCAAUACGACAUACAUAUUUAUAUUAUAGCCCCCUAGACUAUUGAGGGUUACACACUUUAAGUUUGGCAAUUACAAUUACAUCAAUCUCACCCAUACCUCAAGUAUAUCAAAAGUGCCAACAACCAUAUAGCAGACACACUAACAAGAGAAUGGAAGCCAUCAUAAAGCAACCCAGAUAAGAAGCAACACUAUUCAUGGAAGACUAACACAAGAAUUAAAAAAUAUCUGCUUUUUUGGAGGCGGGAGGAAUCACGCAAGCAAUGCCAUAAAAAGCCAUUAUUGAAGAUUAACGGGAGGAAUAACGUAAGCAAUGACGUAAAAAGCCAUUAUUGAAGACACCUAAUGACGUAAUCAAUGACGUAAAAAGCCAUUAUUGAAGACACCUGUCUUUUCAAUGUGGAAGGGAUUAUUAUAUUUUUAAUUAUGUAAAGUGUUGGUAGAAUUAUUUGUAUUGUCGGUAGGANAAUUAUUAAGUGUCGGUUGUAUUAUUUGUGAUGUAACAUAAAGUGUGAAACCCUCAAUAGUCUAGGGGGCUAUAAUGUAAAUAUGUAUGUCGUAUUGCAAUCAAACGAUUGCAACAAUAAUUGUAACCGGCUCUCUUGAGCCUAUAAAUAGGGUUUUCGCAUAUAUGAAAUAAACAAGUUAAGUUUGAGUGUUUGAGACUUGAGUUGAUCUCAAUUGUCUUCUAUGUUGAAAUAGUUGUUCUAUUUCUGAAUAGUAGAGUUCUAUCCAAAUUAUCCACAUAAUCAUCCAAAUAUUCAACAUAAUCCAUCAUCAAUAUAAUCCACCGCAUCAUUUAGGUAUAAUCUUAUCUUAAUCUUUCUUAAUUCCGUCAUGUUGUUAAAUUUGGUAUCAGAGCAAUUAAUCCAUCAUCAUGUUAUUUUAAAUUUGGUAUAAGAGCUAAGUAACGUUCUUACUAUUAUUUUGAAUAUUAAAUCUUUCAUUCAUAUGAAUAUAUGUUCAUCAUGCAUCAUCAUAUAUAUUCUUAUAAAUAUUCAUCGUUACAGACAUUCAUCGUUAUAAGUUAUAAACUCAUUAUUAAAAUCAAAUAUUAUUAUCCACCUACAAUUUAAACAUAUGUCGGUAGAAGUUUUUUUACAAUUAUGACUAUGUACCAAGAAGUUAGAAACACAUUUCAUAUGUCAAAAAAGUUUUUAAUUCUCUGACUGCAUCAUAAAUAUAAUAGUAUUAAAAAACCCCACCAUCAACAUCUUAUUAGAAUUUAUAAAUCGUAACUUUGAAAAAAAAAUAUAAUAAAUAAAUAAAUUAUCAUUUUGUUUCUAAAAAUUAUAAUCAUAAGUUUUUCAAGUUUAAAUAUUAACAAAUAAAAAAUCUUGAAGCUGUUGAUGAAGAUGGCUUAGGGCCAUACAUAAAGUUAAAAUACUAUAGGAGUAUUUUAGAACGCUAAAAGAUUCACACUAAUCCCAGAAUCAUAAUCAGAAGAUAAGAAUCAAACAAGAAUUAAAAUACCAUACGGGUAUUUUAGGACACAUAAACAACCUUGCGUGAAUAACUAAAAAGAUCCUUAUUGAUAUACCUACAACUACAGAGGGUAUACUCCCAAGGUUAUAUAUAAUAAGGAUCCCAUAGGCUAAGAAUGUGUGGUUUCGCCCUAUUUCCUUUUCCUCGUUAGGAUGUGGAUCUAGAGUAGUAUCACAUAUUCGAAGGCCUAUCGGAUCUAAGCUAUAUAUGAUUUGUAUACCCUGUGUAAUCGUAGCAGGACUCGAUAUGGAUCAUACAGUAAAAUGUUAAUAAUCUCUUAGGAUUAUUUAGACAUUUCCAUUCUCGCGCGAACCCUGUAGAAAAACCCACUUCAGUGCUUGACAGAAGAGUUGAUUCCGACCCCGAGGAGGUUCAUCGAGAAGAUUUCCUGUUCGGAAAUAAAUGAACUGGGUCGAGACUAUUGAAUGCACCAAGUGCCCGUAUUCUUUUAGGGACAUUGGUGAGAAAUUUGCCUAAACUUCCGAGAUUCCAGUCAUCCAUCAUGAAGCGGUGACACCCAGAGUCGGAAUCAGAAGGAAGGCGGAGUAGAAAUUCAAUAUGUCCAUACGAGAAGAGAACCCUAGGAAACUACCCGAAGGAAACCAACGUCGGUUCCAGUCAAAGAUACGGGGAAGACCGAGGGAGCCAGUAUAUGGAACCCGGGAAUUGUCUUUUCCUCGUAUUCGUCACGAUAAUUCACCCUUAAAAUGAUACAAUUUAGUGAGUUAGUGGUUACACUACUCACGCUAUGUGUUAGGUAAAUCGUCGUUUCCCGUUGCCAGAUACACGAUUAGGGCGGAUCCCCGCAUCUCUAUUGAGAGAAUUUUAGCCAUCUGCCCUUGUGAGCCUCUCUUUCCGCAGUUUCGUUCCGAACCGUUCUCAAAUCUCUCCAGGCCGGAGAGUGAAACCUUUUCCAGUAUAAAGGUAACUUAGUAGGAACGACUCGCAUCUUAUGGCCUUUUUCCGAUACUCAUACACCCACUUCGAUUACCAGGACUACAUCAUAGGGAUGUAGGUCGACACUCAGACGAUCAGUACCCAAGGCACGGGAAAAGUUUAUGCCUACUACGUUCAGGACAGAAAUGUCCAGGGUUAACCAUCGUCUCUCAUUAUCUUCUAUUCCUUUCCGUGUAGGAAAACCAUGCCACCGAAGAAGCGUAACCAAUCCACAAGCAAGAAACCUGCUCUCUUAUUCGAUGAAGCUACGUUCCAAGCUGCAGUCUCAGCAGUCGUAGCAGCUGUCAUGGCUCACCUGAAUGCUAACACCGCCAAUGUUAGCAAGGGCCCUGUCGGGAUUUCCAAUCCUGGCAAUGGACAGCAGCAACCAACACUUUCAUACCCAGUCACCCAAGAACCUUCACCGAACCCACUAAAGAGAAAACUCAAGAUUGAGGAGGGAAGUACCUCGGCUCAAGGACCUUCCGAAGGGCAACGAGCUGAGGCAGUCUAUACCCCUGUCAAUCCUUCCCUCCCGACCUCAAGAAGACCAUACCUAGGAGACCUUCCCCACUGCAGCAAGUGCAGCUACCAUCAUCAUGGUGCCUGUCGGGAACUCUAUUGUGCUAGGUGCAACAUGAAGGGACAUACUGCUCGCGUAUGCAGAACUCCGGUGGAGCGUAUUACAUCAACCACCAAUGUGGCGACACGUGCAGUUUGCCACCUAUACGGUGAAGUGGGACACUUCAAGAAGGACUGCCCAACCGGAGGGAAAGACAAAGACACAGAAGGAGCCUGACACUACUGCUUAGGGAGAAGCGGCAAGGAACUCAUUAGAUUUUGGUACGUCUCUCGAUCUCGAAUAACAAAUCUAAGAACAAUAAAAGACUAAUUCAAAUGUAAAUUCUUCCUAGUAAGGCAAAAGUCGCAGCACUGCUAUAAAAUUUAAAAUUCAUUAGGUAAAACUAUAAUGGCUAAACAUAUACGUUACGACCAUGUAUAUUUAAGAUGGACAGACCUAGAGUGAGCGAAUGCCGCCUCAUUUCCUGUUUCUCGUUUGGUUGUGGAUUUAGGGCGGGGUCGCUCAGUCAACAGUCCUCCCCACCUUAAAUAUACAUGACUAGUAUAUGUGAGGCGAUUAUAGAAAUGCCUCGUGAGAAUCCGUUCAUGAAAAGAUACUCUAUUCGGAAACACUUAGGACUCUCUGUAGUUCUGCGUCGACUCUAUCGGUCCAAGUAUCCGCGGUAGUGAUACAUAGGACGAAACCCGAGACGCCUAGAACUUGUGUGCCUGUUCGGCACAUGACUCUAUCGAUCUUCACUUUACAUCAUGUCGGAGUGUGCCAACUUCGACGACUCUAUUGAUCAUGGUUUGACUUCGUGCAACCAUGUGUACAUUCUUAGUGUUGUGUAAAAGAACUUUCUCCAUAGCCAUGUCGGCAAAUAAAGGUUCUUCCGAACCUAAACCUAACUCAAAUAAUCAAACAUAAUGCGAUCCGUCAAUCGUUCCCCUUAUCUCAAACCUUCCGAAGUACCCAAGGGAGGGUACCGUACACUGUGACCGACCCCUCGUAGUCAGAUAAACACCGAAGCGAAAGGCACUGCAGAUACUCUAAGAAGACGACCACCAUCCGAAGCAUACUCCGUAGAAUCCCCCGAGAGACCCUUCGCACCUCGCACAUCAGGUUCGUGAACCCAGAGAAUAGAACUCAUAAGGCUGACCACUAUAACCAGGUAUACUGUUGGCAUACAUCAAGUAUUGGCGGUUAAGCCAAGCAUGAGCUCUACCACGGACCUCUUCGCAAAACACUCUCACCCUAUUCCAUAACAUAGGAGUCGGAGUCAAGAGAAUCACUGCGAGUUGAGCCAGUAAAUUUCCGAGUGAUGAAGACUCUAUACCCACUAGCUUUGACCUAGACCGAGAAAACUCAGAACCUUCGGAAGAGUAGUUGCAGUAGAUGCUCGCACUACUCAUGCACCUCGUCCACCCAGUUAUAGACAAGUGGUGCUUAUCAUCCUCCACCCUCUCGCAAGGAGGAAAUCGUCGUCGCCCUGUUGACGAUGAAUUACACUUUCCGAAUUGAACACUAGGAUACCGAGAACCACAGGAUAACCUUCGCAGCCAAGAAUACUUGGCCAUGUACGAAAGUAGUUACGUUAAGCCUCUUGACCCAUAUCCCAAAGAGAUCAUAGGCUUGACACCAGCCCUGGUGUUAGUCGAAGGGUUAUGCUGGAACAUGCACUUUCCACGCUAGAAUAAACCACAGUCUUAGAGAUUCCUUGAACUAUUAGGUGUUCCAUGAAUACUAUCUCACGCUGAGAUAGAAGAACCACCUCCCAAGAUAGUCCAACACUCGUCUAGUGAAACCCUAUCUCCACGACCCUCAGGGUUUUCGUAUCUCAAGCAUCGUUAGUGCAGGUCCAUUUUGCACGAGUUUGGGAUAGACCCUCUAUAGCAAAUCGAUAACCAUAGUCACGCAACCCACUCGACGAUCUAGAAAGUCUCUAUCAGCCAGUUGACAGGAAACGCGAAACCAAAGAGCACUUGAGAUUUCUAAGAACCAACCUGAAGGACUACACACACAGUACGAGUGAGAACGUUAGGAACUUCGGAAUGGCGAUCACACCAGUGAUGAUCUUGCCAUAGAAGUACACUAUGUACUUAGUACUGAAAAGCUCUACCCAUUCUGAGAGCUUAGGACCAUAUGAGAAUCCUUAUGGAGAUUUGGUCCAACCCUUUUCAGGCCGCUACUACCUUCGGAUACCCCGCAAGCUUCACACCUGAUCGAUCCACUCCUUAGACUUGAUACGUGAUUUCCCGACAACACUCUUCAUGCCUCACUCAUCUUGAUAUAAUCCAUUGAGAACCCUAACCUUGUAGAUACACCAGUUGGAACCCACUAGCUACACUAGACGGAAUCCGCAUCCCGUACGUGAAGGUCUGUCGGAAUGACAAACACAGACUGGAGUUCACUUGGGAAUGCGAGGACAACCGUAUAGGAAGUACUAUCUUACCUCUACUUGGCCAUUCAUACCUACUUCCUUGCUUAGACUUGAAUUUCGGGACGAAAUUCCCUCUAACGGGGGGAUGAUGUGACAACCCAAGUUGUCCCGUUACAUUUCCCCGUUACCGUUAACGGAAUAUUCCACUGUAUAAAAGUUCCGUUAAUUAGAGGGCGUCAAUUUAGUAAACAUUCCAUUUGUUUACAUUUAACAUGCCGUUAAGUCGUGAUAAAAGAAAAUAAAAACUCGUAUUACACAUUUCCAUUUAGUUGGAAAAGUUAGUUUUUAUUAUUACGACCACUAAAUCGGGUGCGACCAAAAGCCCCGUUUAACGGCAGUAUUGGGUAGAAUUCCACUGAGCCCCGACCCGGAACCCUAUAUAAGGGUGAGUGGAGUCCAUUUGGAGACUUUUUACCCUCUCUCUCUAUACUCUCUCUCUAGACUCGUUUUCGCCUCGAAUCCGCAACCAAACGCUUCCAAAUUGUAAGUCCGCUUACCCUAGCCUAUUCUAAACAUAUUGAUUCAUGUUUAUAGCUUAGAAAUCGAACCUAGAAGCUGUUGAAAAGGAGUUUACGACCUAAGCUCCUCCUUAGGCCGUAAACACCUAAAAUGAGGCCAAAAUGACCCCCAAAAGUCCCCAAAAGCUUGGAACUAAAUAUGGGAAUUAGCCUAGGAGUGUUUGCACAUUUAAAACAAUCAUUUUGAGGCCUAAAAGAGAGUUUACGGCCCAGGCAUAUGCCAAGGCCGUAAACACCUCUAAACUAAGUCAAAAUGCCUCCAAAACACUCCUACACCACCCUAGGAUUUAACACAUAAAUUAGGGGCUUAUUCUCUUGGGUUUAGAUCACUUAAACAUUAAGAAUUGGAGGAUUAAUAGGAGUUUACGGCCCAGACAUGUGUCAAGGCCGUAAACUCCCCAAACCAAGCCAAAAUGUUGGUUUUUGUCCCCCAAAUGGCCUUAGACAUUGACCAUAAAAUACUAGGAUUGAAUUAAGGGCUUAAACACAAGAAAUGGAGGGAUAAAAAGGAGUUUACGGCCCAAGCAAGUUUCUAGGCCGUAAACUCCCCAAAACACAUCCAAAUGAUGGUUUUAAUCCCCCAAAAUGGCAUCACACUCCAUUAGAAAUUGCUAGAAAGGUAAUAGGGGCUUAAAACUUCACUUAACUCUAAGAUUGAGAGUUUACGGUCGUAAACUCCUAUAAGGUUCCCUUAUAAGCCUUAAAACACUCAUGCCUUUUAUGAAAAGUACUUAGAAAAAUCCCAUGAACAAGCUAGAAGCCUUAAACACACUAGAACCCUUCACCAUGAGUUUACGGCCGUAAACUCAUGGUGAGUAGUCCCUGGGCCGUAAACAUGGUAUUAAGGGUUUACUCUUGGAGAGUAAACUCCAUUCCUAAGCCACACACACCUUUAGACGCUACCCGGGACACCCAAACACUUAUCCAAAGUGUUUUCCGCUCCUUUGAGCGCGUAUAUUUGUUUAAUUAGUAUUAAAUAUACUAAUUGUAUGUGAACAUAUGUUAUCAUAUGUUAAAUAGGUCAUUGUGUGUGUUCGAGUCCUUGCGUGACACCGAACGCCCAAACGGCACCUUCGUCGGACCUACUUACACCAGGUGAGUUCAUACCCCUGAAUGAACCUUUUAAAUGUUUUUACAUGUUUUAUAGGGGGGAAUACAAGUUAAACAUGCCAGUUAUCAUAUCAAUCACAUGUGAUUGAUAACCCGCAUGCACAAGAUUUUACCACACUGUACACUGUUUUACCGAGUAGGACACUAUAAUGGUUUUCAAAAAGGUUUUUCGUUUGUUUCAAGACUCUUAUUUAUACUGCUUUAUUUAAAACUCACUUUAAACUGGUUUAUAAAGGUUUUACAAGAUUUUAAUCAAAGUUCUCUUUCACAACGUAUACUUUUACUUGUUUGUUACUGCUGCUUCGCUUUUACUUAUUUAAAACUCCUACUUGAUAACGCAUUUCCUUCGUGAUACGCUUAUACCGGUUAUUGUCUCUAUAUCGCUUAUACUUGUAGCCACUUAUACUUGAUAGACGCUUUUACUUCACCAGUUGUCGUUUCCACUUCGUGAUACACUUAUACUUGGUACACUUAUACUUCACGAUUCGAUUAUCCCACACUGUACGCUUAUACUUCACGACUCGGAUAUUCCACUGUACGCUUAUACUUCACGACUCGGAUAUUCCACUGUACGCUUAUACUUCACAAGUCGGUUAUUCCACACUGUACACUUAUACUUCACGAUAUGAUUCCACUUGAUACACACUCAAGCGUAGUUAGAUGUAUGUCUGUGCUUGUAUAGAUGCAUAUAAAUAAUGAUUGAAGGACUUAGGAAGGCUUGUCCGCCCUAUUUCCUUUUCUUCGUUGAGAUGUGGUCUGGUGGGAUCGGAUGUCCAUCCGAAGGUCGUUUGAUUCAUUAGUUAUAUAUUAUGUACACAAGCAUAGACAUAUGGGUUUACUUUAGUCAAUUCAGUUAUGAGUCUCUACCUCUAGUUCAGCACUUACAUUAGAAACCCACUAUUUGGAAGUCUCUACCCACUAUUUGGGAUGCAUCUUCAGGACACGGCCUUCUCCGUCGUCUAGUUGGUAACCAGAGUCUCCUGUAGGGAGAGCGGACAUUGUGUGUAUAGAUCUAUACGGGAUUGACACCCCCGCACCCUGACUGCUAGCUACAGUCCACGGCCUACCAAGCCAAGGGGUGACAAAUGUCAUAUUCUCUAGACGCUUGUAGGGCGUCUGGUUCUCUAGUGUCGAUUAGUAUGGUUACGAGUAUCCCAGGUUUCCUUAUAAUUCAUGGUCUUAAGGUAACGGUAUUCACCGACAAUUUACACUGUAUGCUGGUAACUCAUUUUCAGAGUCACACUGUUUUGACCUUGCGAAAUGUAUCCUUCAUUUGAUACUGUCUGCGGUCUGUAUUCUCUGUUUUGACCUUGCAAGAUGUAUCUUUCAUUUGAUACUGUCUGUGGUCUGUAUUCUCCGUUUUGACGUUGCAAGAUGCAUCUAUCGUUUGAUACUGUCUGCGGUCUGUAUUCACUGUUUUAGACCCUUCCAGCUGUACCUUUCAUUUGGUACCUUAUGGGGUCUGUGUGUUCUUUUGUUAGGCUGAACCAGGCGUGUCGUUCGUUCGAUAUUCUCCUGGAGUAUAUGAUUCCUUUGCCUUAGUCAGCAGUCCUCACUGUUCUGGCAUAUGUAUUUUCCCUGACUUCUCUUGCUUUCUUUAAUAAUCAAAUUCUGUAUUUUGAUAAUGAUAGGGAUUAAGGGAAAACUACUUUUUACCACACUAACUCCGUCCAGUCUUGGUAGAAGACUGCUUUAUUUAAAGAAAAUAUAGGAUUUUCUUGAAAGUACUCUAAUACACUGUAAAUUCUUAAACUACCACAUUAUAAAGUUAUUUGGAUAAAAAGUCACUAAAUGCUUACGAACUCACCAGCAUUUGUAAAAAUGCUGAUACUCGCUUUUCAAAUAACUUGUAUUCUCAGGUUAGCAUUAGACAGGUACAUCCCCAGAGUUGUUGAUGAAAAUAGCUUAGUACCAUGUCAUACUUAAUUAUAUUUACUUGUAUUACUUUGAUGUAUUGUAAUGUAACCAUGUAAAAUUAUUACUAUUUAUGCAAUGUUUUGUUGUACUUUGAUUAUUAAAUGCAUGUGUUGUGAUACUUGACAUGACAUCAUCCACCCCAGAACGUUUCCGCCGUUCCGGUUUUGGGGUGUGACAGAUUGGUAUCAGAGCCUUGUUUAUAGUGAGCUAAGUAUAUCAAUUCAUAAAAGAUAUACAGCCUAUAAAUACAAAGGGAUAAAACACUCUGACCAAGAAUUAUACUUUAAAAUAUAACCAUAUUUUACCAAAGUAUAAUAACAUCCAAAACCUAAACACUCGAACAAAAGUAUCACAAGAAGAACAAUAAUAAGAGUCAUCGGAUGUUGAGCACUACAGUCAAACCUGGGCAGUUAUGUAAUCGUAAGCUGGGAUAAAUGUAACCUAAUCAACUACAUUUAUCCGAGAUGCGAUGAACGUGUGCUCGGGAGUGAUAGUGGUGUACAACAGGUCUGAAACUUACCAACUAGGAUUUGCUAGAGCCAUACAUAAAGUUAAAAUACUAUAGGAGUAUUUUAGAACGCUAAAAGAUUCACACUAAUCCCAGAAUCAUAAUCAGAAGAUAAGAAUCAAACAAGAAUUAAAAUACCAUACGGGUAUUUUAGGACACAUAAACAACCUUGCGUGAAUAACUAAAAAGAUCCUUAUUGAUAUACCUACAACUACAGAGGGUAUACUCCCAAGGUUAUAUAUAAUAAGGAUCCCAUAGGCUAAGAAUGUGUGGUUUCGCCCUAUUUCCUUUUCCUCGUUGGGAUGUGGUUCUAGAGUAGUAUCACAAAUUCGAAGGCCUAUCGGAUCUAAGCUAUAUAUGAUUUGUAUACCCUGUGUAAUCGUAGCAGGACUCGAUAUGGAUCAUACAGUAAAAUGUUAAUAAUCUCUUAGGAUUAUUUAGACAUUUCCAUUCUCGCGCGAACCCUGUAGAAAAACCCACUUCAGUGCUUGACAGAAGAGUUGAUUCCGACCCCGAGGAGGUUCAUCGAGAAGAUUUCCUGUUCGGAAAUAAAUGAACUGGGUCGAGACUAUUGAAUGCACCAAGUGCCCGUAUUCUUUUAGGGACAUUGGUGAGAAAUUUGCCUAAACUUCCGAGAUUCCAGUCAUCCAUCAUGAAGCGGUGACACCCAGAGUCGGAAUCAGAAGGAAGGCGGAGUAGAAAUUCAAUAUGUCCAUACGAGAAGAGAACCCUAGGAAACUACCCGAAGGAAACCAACGUCGAUUCCAGUCAAAGAUACGGGGAAGACCGAGGGAGCCAGUAUAUGGAACCCGGGAAUUGUCUUUUCCUCGUAUUCGUCACGAUAAUUCACCCUUAAAAUGAUACAAUUUAGUGAGUUAGUGGUUACACUACUCACACUAUGUGUUAGGUAAAUCGUUGUUUCCCGUUGCUAGAUACACGAUUAGGUUGGAUCCCCGCAUCUCUAUUGAGAGAAUUUUAGCCAUCUGCCCUUGUGAGCCUCUCUUUCCGCAGUUUCGUUCCGAGCCGUUCUCAAAUCUCUCCAGGCCGGAGAGUGAAACCUCUUCCAGUAUAAAGGUAACUUAGUAGGAACGACUCGUAUCUUAUGGCCUUUUUCCGAUACUCAUACACCCACUUCGAUUACCAGGACUACAUCAUAGGGAUGUAGGUCGACACUCAGACGAUCAGUACCCAAGGCACGGGAAAAGUUUAUGCCUACUACAUUCAGGACAGAAAUGUCCAGGGUUAACCAUCGUCUCUCAUUAUCUUCUAUUCCUUUCCAUGUAGAAAAAAAAGCCAUGCCACUGAAGAAGCGUAACCAAUCCACAAGAAAGAAACCUACACUCUUAUUUGAUGAAGCUACGUUCCAAGCUGCAGUCUCAGCAGCCAUAGCAGCUGUCAUGGCUCACCUGAAUGCUAACACCGCCAAUGUUAGCAAGGGCCCUGUCGGGAUUUCCAAUCCUGGCAACGGACAACAACAAACAACACUUUCAUACCCAUUCAUCCAAGAACCUUCACUGAACCCACUAAAGAGAAAACUCAAGAUUGAGGAGGGAAGUACCUCGGCUCAAGGACCUUCCGAAGGGCAACGAGCUGAGGCAGACCAUACCCCUGUCAAUCCUUCCCUCCCGACCUCAAGAAGACCAUACCUAGGAGACCUUCCCCACUGCAACAAGUGCAGCUACCAUCAUCAUGGUGCCUGUCGGGAACUCUAUUGUGCUAGGUGCAACAUGAAGGGACAUACUGCUCGCGUAUGCAGAACUCCGGUGGAGCGUAUUACAUCAACCACCAAUGUGGCGACACGUGCAGUUUGCCACCAAUGCGGUGAAGUGGGACACUUCAAGAAGGACUGCCCAACCGGAGGGAAAGACAAAGACACAGAAGGAGCAUGACACUACUGCUUAGGGAGAAGCGGCAAGGAACUCAUUAGAUUUUGGUACGUCUCUCGAUCUCGAAUAACAAAUCUAAGAACAAUAAAAGACUAAUUCAAAUGUAAAUUCUUCCUAGUAAGGCAAAAGUCGCAGCACUGCUAUAAAAUUUAAAAUUCAUUAGGUAAAACUAUAAUGGCUAAACAUAUACGUUACGACCAUGUAUAUUUAAGAUGGACAGACCUAGAGUGAGCGAAUGCCGCCUCAUUUCCUGUUUCUCGUUUGGUUGUGGAUUUAGGGCGGGGUCGCUCAGUCAACAGUCCUCCCCACCUUAAAUAUACAUGACUAGUAUAUGUGAGGCGAUUAUAGAAAUGCCUCGUGAGAAUCCGUUCAUGAAAAGAUACUCUAUUCGGAAACACUUAGGACUCUCUGUAGUUCUGCGUCGACUCUAUCGGUCCAAGUAUCCGCGGUAGUGAUACAUAGGACGAAACCCGAGACGCCUAGAACUUGUGUGCCUGUUCGGCACAUGACUCUAUCGAUCUUCACUUUACAUCAUGUCGGAGUGUGCCAACUUCGACGACUCUAUUGAUCAUGGUUUGACUUCGUGCAACCAUGUGUACAUUCUUAGUGUUGUGUAAAAGAACUUUCUCCAUAGCCAUGUCGGCAAAUAAAGGUUCUUCCGAACCUAAACCUAACUCAAAUAAUCAAACAUAAUGCGAUCCGUCAAUCGUUCCCCUUAUCUCAAACCUUCCGAAGUACCCAAGGGAGGGUACCGUACACUGUGACCGACCCCUCGUAGUCAGAUAAACACCGAAGCGAAAGGCACUGCAGAUACUCUAAGAAGACGACCACCAUCCGAAGCAUACUCCGUAGAAUCCCCCGAGAGACCCUUCGCACCUCGCACAUCAGGUUCGUGAACCCAGAGAAUAGAACUCAUAAGGCUGACCACUAUAACCAGGUAUACUGUUGGCAUACAUCAAGUAUUGGCGGUUAAGCCAAGCAUGAGCUCUACCACGGACCUCUUCGCAAAACACUCUCACCCUAUUCCAUAACAUAGGAGUCGGAGUCAAGAGAAUCACUGCGAGUUGAGCCAGUAAAGUUCCGAGUGAUGAAGACUCUAUACCCACGAGCUUUGACCUAGACCGAGAAAACUCAGAACCUUCGGAAGAGUAGUUGCAGUAGAUGCCCGCACUACUCAUGCACCUCGUCCACCCAGUUAUAGACAAGUGGUGCUUAUCAUCCUCCACCCUCUCGCAAGGAGGAAAUCGUCGUCGCCCUGUUGACGAUGAAUUACACUUUCCGAAUUGAACACUAGGAUACCGAGAACCACAGGAUAACCUUCGCAGCCAAGAAUACUUCGCCAAGUACGAAAGUAGUUGCGUUAAGCCUCAUGACCCAUAUCCCGAAGAGAUCAUAGGCUUGACACCAGCCCUGGCGUUAGUCGAAGGGUUAUGCAGGAACAUGCACUUUCCACGCUAGAAUAAACCACAGUCUUAGAGAUUCCUUGAACUAUUAGGUGUUCCACGAAUACUAUCUCACGCAGAGAUAGAAGAACGUUUCCGCCGUUCCGGUUUUGGGGUGUGACAGUUAGAAACGCAUUUCAUAUGUCAAAAAGUUUUUAAUUCUCUGACUGCAUCAUAAAUAUAAUAGUAUUAAAAAACCCCACCAUCAACAUCCUAUUAGAAUUUAUAAAUCAUAACUUUGAAAAAAAAUAUAAUAAAUAAAUAAAUUAUCAUUUUGUUUCUAAAAAUUAUAAUCAUAAGUUUUUCAAGUUUAAAUAUUAACAAAUAAAAAAUCUUGAAAAUAAAAUAACAAGAAUAAAUUAUUAAAUAUGUCUCAAGAAAUAGAAAAUACACCAAUCAUUAUUAAUAACGAAGAAAAUGAAUCGGGAUACACAUUUGAUGCUCUAAUUAUUAAAAAUAAUAUUAAUAAAGAUGCUAUAAGAAAAUCAAAUUUUACACUAUCAGAAAAACAUAAUUUUAGAUAUUACUCAUUAAGAGAAGAUUAUACAUUAAUGAUGCGGUGGAUUAUAUUGAUGAUGGAUUAUGUUGAAUGAUUGGAUGAUUGUGUGGAUAAUUUGGAUAGGGCUCUGCUAUUCAGAAAUAGAACAACUAUUUCAACAGAGAAAACAAUUGAGAUCAACUCAAGUCUUAAACACUCAAACUUAACCUGUUUAUUUCAUAUGGGCAAAGGCCCUAUUCAAAGGAUCAAGAGAGUCGGUUACAAUUAUUGUUGCAAUCGUUUGAUUGCAAUACGACAUACAUAUUUACAUUAUAGCCCCCUAAACUAUUGAGGGUUACACACUUUAUGUUACAUCACAAAUAAUACAACCGACACUUAAUAAUUAUCNAAAAAAAACACCCGACACUUAAUAAUUAUCCUACCGACACUUCUAUUGAAUUACGUAAAAAUAACAAUCCUUUAUUUAAGACACGUGUCCUUUCAACGUGGAAGGGAUUGUUAUUUUUACGUAAUUAAAUAGAAGUGUCGGUAGGAUAAUUAUUAAGUGUCGGUUGUAUUAUUUGUGAUGUAACAUCAAGUGUGUAACCCUCAAUAGUCUAGUGGGCUAUAAUGUAAAUAUGUAUGUCGUAUUGCAAUCAAAUGAUUGCAACAAUAAUUGUAACCGACUCUCUUGAGCAUCAAAAGUGUAUCCCACUUCAUUUUCUUCGUUAUUAAUCAGGAUUUGUGUAUUUUCUUUUUCUUGAGACAUAUUUAAUAAAUUAUUCUUGUUAUUUUAUCUUCAAGAUUUUUUAUUUGUUAAUAUUUAAACAUGAAGAACUCAUGAUUAUAAUUUUUAGAAACAAAAUGAUGAUUUAUUUUUUCUUUAAAAGUUACGAUUUAUAAAUUCUAAUAAGAUGUUGAUGGUGGGGUUUUCUAAUACUAUUAUAUUUAUGAUGCAGUUAGAGAAUUAAAAACCUCUUUGACAAAUCAAAUAUGUUUCUAACUUCUUGGUACAUAGUCAUAAUUAUAAAAAACCUUCUACCGACAUAUGUUUAAAUUGUAGGUGGAUAGUAGUAUUUAAUUUUAAUAAUGAGUUUAUGAUAAUAACUUAUAACGACGAAUGUUUGUAACGAUAAAUAUUUAUAAGAAUAUAUAUGAUGAUGCAUGAUGAACAUAUAUUCAUAUGAACGAAAGACUUAAUAUUCAAAAUAAUAGUAAGAACGUUACUUAGCUGUGAUACCAAAUUUAAAAUAACAUGACGACGGAUUAAUUGCUCUCAUACCAAAUUUAAAGACAUGACGGAAUUAAUAAAGAUUAAGAGAAGAUUAUACAUAAAUGAUGCGCUGGAUUAUAUUGAUGAUGGAUUAUGUUGAAUAAUUAGAUGGUUAUGUGGAUAAUUUGGAUAGAACUCUGCUAUUUAGAAAUAGAACAACUAUUUCAACAGAGAAGACAAUUGAGAUCAACUCAAGUCUUAAACACUCAAACUUAACUUGUUUAUUUCAUUUGGGCAAAGGCCCUAUUUAUAGGCUCAAGAGAGCCGGUUACAAUUAUUGUUGCAAUCGUUUGAUUGCAAUACAACAUACAUAUUUAUAUUAUAGCCCCCUAGACUAUUGAGGGUUACACACUUUAAGUUUGGCAAUUACAAUUACAUCAAUUUCACCCAUACCUCAAGUAUAUCAAAAGUGCCAAAACCCAUAUAGCAGACACACUAACAAGAGAAUGGAAGCCAUCAUAAAGCAACCUAGAUAAGAAGCAACACAAUUCAUUGAAGACUAACCCAUGAAUUAAAAAAUAUCUGCUUUUUCUGAGGCGGGAGGAAUGACGCAAGCAAUGACAUAAAAAGCCAUUAUUGAAGAUUAACGGGAGGAAUACCGUAAGCAAUGACGUAAAAAUCCAUUAUUGAAGACACCUAAUGACGUAAGCAAUGACGUAAAAAGCCAUUAUUGAAGACACCUGUCUUUUCAAUGUGGAAGGGCUUAUUAUAUUUUUAAUUAUGUAAAGUGUUGGUAGAAUUAUUUGUAUUUGUCGGUAGGAUAAUUAUUAAGUAUCGGUUGUAUUAUUUGUAAUGUAACAUAAAGUGUGUAACCCUUAAUAGUCUAGGGGGCUAUAAUGUAAAUAUGUUUGUCGUAUUGCAAUCAAACGAUUGCAACAAUAAUUGUAACCAGCUCUCUUGAGCCUAUAAAUAGGGUCUUUGCCCAUAUGAAAUAAACAAGUUAAAUUUGAGUGUUUAAGACUUGAGUUGAUCUCAAUUUUCUUCUCUGUUGAAAUAGUUGUUCUAUUUCUGAAUAGCAGAGUUCUAUCCAAAUUAUCCACAUAAUCAUCCAAUUAUUCAACAUAAUCCAUCAUCAAUAUAAUCCACCACAUCAUUCAGGUAUAAUCUUAUCUUAAUCUUUCUUAAUUCCGUCAUGUUAUUAAAUUUGGUAUCAGAGCAAUUAAUCCGUCAUCAUGUUAUUUUGAAUUUGGUAUCAGAGCUAAGUAACGUUCUUACUAUUAUUUUGAAUAUUAAAUCUUUCAUUCAUAUGAUAUAUGUUCAUCAUGCAUCAUCAUAUAUAUUCUUAUAAAUAUUCAUCGUUACAAACAUUCAUCGUUAUAAGUUAUAAACUCAUUAUUAAAAUCAAAUAUUAUUAUCCACCUACAAUUUAAACAUAUGUCGGUAGAAGUUUUUUUUACAAUUAUGACUAUGUACCAAGAAGUUAGAAACACAUUUCAUAUGUCAAAAAAGUUUUUAAUUCUCUGACUGCAUCAUAAAUACAAUAGUAUUAAAAAACCCCACCGUCAACAUCUUAUUAGAAUUUAUAAAUCGUAACUUUGAAAAAAAAAAUAUAAUAAAUAAAUAAAUUAUCAUUUUGUUUCUAAAAAUUAUAAUCAUAAGUUUUUCAAGUUUAAAUAUUAACAAAUAAAAAAUCUUGAAAAUAAAAUAACAAGAAUAAUUUAUUAAAUAUGUCUCAAGAAAUAGAAAAUACACCAAUCAUUAUUAAUAACGAAGAAAAUGAAUCGGGAUACACUUUUGAUGCUCUAAUUAAUAAAAAUAAUAUUAAUAAAGAUGCUAUAAGAAAAUUAAAUUUUACACUAUCUGAAAAACAUAAUUUUAGAUAUAAGUCAUUGAGAGAAGAUUAUACAUGAAUGGUGCGUUGGAUUAUAUUGAUGAUGGAUUAUGUUGAAUGAUUGGAUGAUUAUGUGGAUAAUUUGGAUAGGGCUAUGCUAUUCAGAAAUAGAAUAACUAUUUCAACAAAGAAGACAAUUGAGAUCAACUCAAGUCUUAAACACUCAAACUUAACUUGUUUAUUUCAUAUGGGCAAAUGCCCUAUUCAUAGGCUCAAGAGAGUCGGUUACAAUUAUUGUUGCAAUCGUUCGAUUGCAAUACGACAUACAUAUUUACAUUAUAAUUCCCGAGACUAUUGACGGUUACACACUUUAUGUGACAUCUCAAAUAAUACAACCGACACUUAAUAAUUAUCCCACCGACACUUCUAUUUAAUUACGUAAAAAUAACAAACCUUUAUUUAAGAGACGUGUCCUUUCAACGUGGAAGGGAUUGUUAUUUUUACGUAAUUAAAUAGAAGUGUAGGUAGGAUAAUUAUUAAGUGUCGGUUGUAUUAUUUGUGAUGUAACAUAAAGUGUGUAACCCUCAAUAGUCUAGGGGGCUAUAAUGUAAAUAUGUAUGUCGUAUUGCAAUCAAACGAUUGCAACAAUAAUUGUAACCGGCNNNNNNNNNNNNNNNNNNNNNNNNNNNNNNNNNNNNNNNNNNNNNNNNNNNNNNNNNNNNNNNNNNNNNNNNNNNNNNNNNNNNNNNNNNNNNNNNNNNNNNNNNNNNNNNNNNNNNNNNNNNNNNNNNNNNNNNNNNNNNNNNNNNNNNNNNNNNNNNNNNNNNNNNNNNNNNNNNNNNNNNNNNNNNNNNNNNNNNNNNNNNNNNNNNNNNNNNNNNNNNNNNNNNNNNNNNNNNNNNNNNNNNNNNNNNNNNNNNNNNNNNNNNNNNNNNNNNNNNNNNNNNNNNNNNNNNNNNNNNNNNNNNNNNNNNNNNNNNNNNNNNNNNNNNNNNNNNNNNNNNNNNNNNNNNNNNNNNNNNNNNNNNNNNNNNNNNNNNNNNNNNNNNNNNNNNNNNNNNNNNNNNNNNNNNNNNNNNNNNNNNNNNNNNNNNNNNNNNNNNNNNNNNNNNNNNNNNNNNNNNNNNNNNNNNNNNNNNNNNNNNNNNNNNNNNNNNNNNNNNNNNNNNNNNNNNNNNNNNNNNNNNNNNNNNNNNNNNNNNNNNNNNNNNNNNNNNNNNNNNNNNNNNNNNNNNNNNNNNNNNNNNNNNNNNNNNNNNNAUAUAUAUAUAUAUAUAUAAGAAUAUAUAUGAUGAUGCAUGAUGAACAUAUAUGCAUAUGAACGAAAGAUUUAAUAUUCAGCAUAUUAGUAAGAACGUUACUUUGCUCUGAUACCAACUUUAAAAUAACAUGAUGACGGAUUACUUGCUCUCAUACCAAAUUUAAAGACAUGACGGAAUUAAUAAAGAUUAAGAGAAGAUUAUACCUGAAUGAUGCGGUGGAUUAUAUUGAUGAUGGAUUAUGUUGAAUAAUUAGAUGGUUAUGUGGAUAAUUUGGAUAGAACUCUACUAUUUGAAAAUAGAAAAACUAUUUCAACAGAGAAGAAAGUUGAGAUCAACUCAAGUCUUAAACACUCAAACUUAACUUGUUUAUUUCAUAUGGGCAAAGGCCCUGUUUAUAGGCUCAAGAGAGUCGGUUACAAUUAUUGUUGCAAUCGUCUGAUUGCAAUACAACAUACAUAUUUACAUUGUAACCCCCUAGACUAUUGAGGGUUACACACUUUAAGUUUGGCAAGUACAAUUACAUCGAUUUCACCCAUACCUCAAGUAUAUCAAAAGUGCCAACAACCAUAUAGCAGACACGGUAACAAGUGAAUGGAAGCCAUCAUAAAGCAAGCUAGAUAAGAAGCAACACUAUUCAUGGAAGACUAACACAAGAAUUAAAAAAUAUCAGCUUUUUCGGAGGCGGGAGGAAUGACGCAAGCAAUGACAUAAAAAGCCAUUAUUGAAGAUUAACGAGAGGAAUAAUGUAAGCAAUGAUGUAAAAAGCCAUUAUUGAAGACACCUAAUGAUGUAAGCAAUGACAUAAAAAGCCAUUAUUGAAGACACCUGUCUUUUCAAUGUGGAAGGGAUUAUUAUAUUUUUAAUUAUGUAAAGUGUUGGUAGAAUUAUUUGUAUUUGUCGGUAGGAUAAUUAUUAAGUGUAUGUUGUAUUAUUUGUGAUGUAACAUAAAGUGUGUAACCCUCAAUAGUCUAGGGGGCUAUAAUGUAAAUAUGUAUGUCGUAUUGCAAUCAAACGAUUGCAACAAUAAUUGUAACCGGCUCUCUUGAGCCUAUAAAUAGGGCAUUUGCCCAUAUGAAAUAAACAAGUUAAGUUUGAGUGUUUAAGACUUGAGUUGAUCUCAAUUGUCUUCUCUGUUGAAAUAGUUGUUCUAUUUCUGAAUAGCAGAGUUCUAUCCAAAUUAUCCACAUAAUCAUCCAAUUAUUCAACAUAAUCCAUCAUCAAUAUAAUCCACCACAUCAUUCAGGUAUAAUCUUAUCUUAAUCUUUCUUAAUUCCGUCAUGUUGUUAAAUUUGGUAUCAGAGCCAUUAAUCCGUCACCAUGUUAUUUUGAAUUUGGUAUCAGAGCUAAGUAACGUUCUUACUACUAUUUUGAAUAUUAAAUCUUUCAUUCAUAUGAUAUAUGUUCAUCAUGCAUCAUCAUAUAUAUUCUUAUAAAUAUUCAUCGUUACAAACAUUCAUCGUUAUAAGUUAUAAACUCAUUAUUAAAAUCAAAUAUUAUUAUCCACCUACAAUUUAAACAUAUGUCGGUAGAAGUUUUUUUACAAUUAUGAUUAUGUACCAAGAAGUUAGAAACACAUUUCAUAUGUCAAAAAAGUUUUUAAUUCUCUGACUGCAUCAUAAAUAUAAUAGUAUUAAAAAACCCCACCAUCAACAUCCUAUUAGAAUUUAUAAAUCGUAACUUUGAAAAAAAAAAUAUAAUAAAAAAUAAAUUAUCAUUUUGUUUCUAAAAAUUAUAAUCAUAAGUUUUUCAAGUUUAAAUAUUAACAAAUAAAAAAUCAUGAAAAUAAAAUAACAAGAAUAAUUUAUUUAAUAUGUCUCAAGAAAUAGAAAAUACACCAAUCAUUAUUAAUAACGAAGAAAACGAAUCGGGAUACUCUUUUGAUGCUCUAAUUAAUAAAAAUAAUAUUAAUAAAGAUGCUAUAAGAAAAUCAAAUUUUACACUAUCUGAAAAACAUAAUUUUAGAUAUAACUCAUUGAGAGAAGAUUAUACAUGAAUGAUGUGUUGGAUUAUAUUGAUGAUGGAUUAUGUUGAAUGAUUUGAUGAUUAUGUGGAUAAUUUGGAUAAGGAUCUGCUAUUCAGAAAUAAAACAACUAUUUCAACAGAGAAGACAAUUGUGAUCAACUCAAGUCUUAAACACUCAAACUUAACUUGUUUAUUUCAUAUGGGCAAAGACCCUAUUCAUAGGAUCAAGAGAGUCGGUUACAAUUAUUGUUGCAAUCGUUUGAUUGCACUACGACGUACAUAUUUACAUUAUAGCCCCCUAAACUAUUGAGGGUUACACACUUUAUGUUACAUCACAAAUAAUACAACCGACACUUAAUAAUUAUCCUACCGACACUUCUAUUUAAUUACGUAAAAAUAACAAUCCUUUAUUUAAGACACGUGUCCUUUCAACGUGGAAGGGAUUGUUAUUUUUACGUAAUUAAAUAGAAGUAUCGGUAGGAUAAUUAUUAAGUGUCGGUUGUAUUAUUUGUGAUGUAACAUCAAGUGUGUAACCCUCAAUAGUCUAGGGGCUAUAAUGUAAAUAUAUAUGUCGUAUUGCAAUCAAACGAUUGCAACAAUAAUUGUAACCGGCUCUCUUGAGCAUCAAAAGUGUAUCCCACUUCAUUUUCUUCGUUAAUAAUAAUGAUUGGUGUAUUUUCUUUUUCCUGAGACAUAUUUAAUAAAUUAUUCUUGUUAUUUUAUCUUCAAGAUUUUUUAUUUGUUAAUAUUUAAACUUGAAAAACUCAUGAUUAUAAUUUUUAGAAACAAAAUGAUAAUUUAUUUUUUCUUUCAAAGUUACGAUUUAUCAAUUCUAAUAAGAUGUUGAUGGUGGGGUUUUCUAAUACUAUUAUAUUUAUGAUGCAGUUAGAGAAUUAAAAACCUCUUUGACAUAUGAAAUGUGUUUCUAACUUCUUGGUACAUAGUCAUAAUUGUAAAAACUCUUCUACCGACAUAUGUUUAAAUUGUAGGUGGAUAGUAGUAUUUGAUUUUAAUAAUGAGUUUAUGAUAACAACUUAUAACGAUGAAUUAUUGUAACGAUGAAUAUAUUGGAAUAGUGUCUAAGGCUGCAACUAUAUUAGGCAAAUAUUUGACCCGGUUGUGCAUGGUCCUUUUGGGUUGCCUUCACCAUAGCAACUUGAUAGGAUGAUUUAUUAUGAGAGAGUAAAUAUUAUUAAUAUAUUAUGAGAAUAAUAUAAAGAAUAAUAUAUUGUUAUUUGAUUAAUAUAAGUCAUAGAAUUAAUUGGAAUUAAUUUGGUGACUUAAAGAGAUUAAUUAAAUAAGAGGGUAUAAACUGUCAAUUGUUUGAUAGUUAAACUUUAGACUGUAAAUCCAUAUAGAUAUGGAUUGGACGGAUUCUAGAAGCUAAAGGAUAGCUCAAAUCGUCCAAGAGUUAUCUAAGGAAUGGAUUUGGAUAGCCUUAAGAGAAGAUUAUCCAAUUAGGGUUUAGGUUGUAACCCUUAAGGAGUCUACAAGUAUAAAUAGACCCUAUGGCAAAGGGAAAUCGGCACUUCAUCUAAAGUAAGAGAACCCUGGCCGAUUUCCUCCCCUCUCCUCUCUCCCAAAUCAUCCUCCUUGCUAUUUGGUGUUUGUAAGCCAUUAGAGGAGUGACAAUUGUGACUCUAGAAGCUCCAAGACAACAAGAUCAACAAGGAAUUCAAAGGUAUGAUUCUAGAUCUGUUUCAAUAUUGUUAUUACACCUAAAUAGUCAUUAGAAGUCUUGGAUUCAAAGCAUGUUUAAUUAGAAAGCCUAGAUCCAAGCAUUAGGGUUUUGCAUGCGCACAUAGGAAAGUUCUUAUGGCUAAAACCCAUCAGUGGUAUCAGAGCCUAGCUUGGUUUUCAUUAAAUUGUUGCUUGAUUAACUGAAACAAACCUGCAAAAUUCGAUUUUUUGGUUUCUGAGUCAUGGACUCGGCGAGUUCCAAAGUGGACUCGGCGAGUUGGCCUGACUCGGCGAGUCCUUUUGUGCACUCGGCGAGUCCAGGCGUCAGGAAUGGCCAGAUUCGGGAUUUCUUCAUAAUUAUCUUAUGGAAACUUACCUUAAUCAUAAUAGAUCAAUCUAAAUCCGAUUUUGUUAUAUAUAUGACUAUUAUCUUGAUCUAGUUAAAGGUAUUUAUCAACUAAUAAAAUAUUUAAUUUCCUUAUAUGAUAAUUAAUUAAUUAUUUUAAUUAUUUUGGUAAUUAUCUUUCAAAGAAAUCUUGAAUAAAAUCAAAUAUAGAUAAUUAGGAUAUUAAUUGUUAAUUGGAAUUAUUUGUUAUUUAAUCCUCCAUGUUUUAAAUGUUUAAAACUUGCCCUCAAGUUUUGAAAUUUAUAUUUGUGAUUAAAAGUUUUAAUUUAGACAACUUAAAUUUCAAACCCUAGAUUUUAAGGUAUAAUCUUAUCUUAAUCUUUCUUAAUACCGUCAUGUUGUUAAAUUUGGUAUCAGAGCAAUUAAUCCGUCAUCAUGUUAUUUUGAAUUUGGUAUCAGAGCUAAGUAACGUUCUUACUAUUAUUUUGAAUAUUAAAUCUUUCAUUCAUAUGAAUAUAUGUUCAUCAUGCAUCAUCAUAUAUAUUCUUAUAAAUAUUCAUCGUUACAAACAUUCAUCGUUAUAAGUUAUAAACUCAUUAUUAAAAUCAAAUAUUAUUAUCCACCUACAAUUUAAACAUAUGUCCGUAGAAGUUUUUUUUACAACUAUGACUAUGUACCAAGAAGUUAGUAACACAUUUCAUAUGUCAAAAAAGAUUUUAAUUCUCUGACUGCAUCAUAAAUAUAAUAGUAUUAAAAAACCCCACCAUCAAUAUCCUAUUAGAAUUUAUAAAUCGUAACUUUGAAAAAAAUUAUAAUAACUAAAUAAAUUAUCAUUUUGUUUCUAAAAAUUAUAAUCAUAAGUUUUUCAAGUUUAAAUAUUAACAAAUAAAAAAUCUUGAAAAUAAAAUAACAAGAAUAAUUUAUUAAAUAUGUCUCAAGAAAUAGAAAAUACACCAAUCAUUAUUAAUAACGAAGAAAAUGAAUCGGGAUACACCUUUGAUGCUCUAAUUAAUAAAAAUAAUAUUAAUAAAGAUGCUAUAAGAAAAUCAAAUUUUACACUAUCUGAAAAACAUAAUUUUAGUUAUAACUCAUUGAGAGAAGAUUAUACAUGAAUGAUGCGGUGGAUUAUAUAGAUGAUGGAUUAUGUAGAAUGAUUGGAUGAUUAUGUGGAUAAUUUGAAUAGGGCUCUGCUAUUUAGAAAUAGAACAACUAUUUCAACAGAGAAGACAAUUGAGAUCAACUCAAGUCUUAAACACUCAAACUUAACUUGUUUAUUUCAUAUGGGCAAAGGCCCUAUUCAUAGGCUCAAGAGAGCCGGUUGCAAUCGUUCGAUUGCAAUACGACAUACAUAUUUACAUUAUAAUUCCCGAGACUAUUGACGGUUACACACUUUAUGUUACAUCUCAAAUAAUACAACCGACACUUAAUAAUUAUCCUACCGACACUUCUAUUUAAUUACGUAAAAGUAACAAUCCUUUAUUUAAGACACGUGUCCUUUCAACGUGGAAGGGAUUGUUAUUUUUACGUAAUUAAAUAGAAGUGUCGGUAGCAUAAUUAUUAAGUGUCCGUUGUAUUAUUUGUGAUGUAACAUAAAGCGUGUAACCCUCAAUAGUCUAGGGGGCUAUAAUGUAAAUAUGUAUGUCGUAUUGCAAUCAAACGAUUGCAACAAUAAUUGUAACCAGCCCUCUUGAGCAUCAAAAGUGUAUCCCACUUCAUUUUCUUCGUUAUUAAUAAUGAUUGGUGUAUUUUCUAUUUCUUGAGACAUAUUUAAUAAAUUAUUCUUGUUAUUUUAUCUUCAAGAUUUUUUAUUUGUUAAUAUUUAAACUUGAAAAACUCAUGAUU